GAUGAACGCUGGCGGCGUGCUUAACACAUGCAAGUCGAACGGAAAGGCUCCUGCUUGCAGGGGUGCUCGAGUGGCGAACGGGUGAGUAACGCGUGGGUGGUCUGCCCUGCACUUCGGGAUAAGCCUGGGAAACUGGGUCUAAUAACGGAUAGAUCGAUGGUUUGGAUGCCAUUUUGGAAAGUUUUUCGGUGUGGGAUGAGCUUGCGGCCUAUCAGCUUGUUGGUGGGGUAAUGGCCUACCAAGGCGUCGACGGGUAGCCGGCCUGAGAGGGUGUACGGCCACAUUGGGACUGAGAUACGGCCCAGACUCCUACGGGAGGCAGCAGUGGGGAAUAUUGCACAAUGGGCGCAAGCCUGAUGCAGCGACGCCGCGUGGGGGAUGACGGCCUUCGGGUUGUAAACUCCUUUCGCUAGGGACGAAGCGCAAGUGACGGUACCUGGAGAAGAAGCACCGGCUAACUACGUG
RNAcentral lists this ribosomal RNA (465 nucleotides) under uncultured bacterium. RNAcentral's name for it is "partial 16S ribosomal RNA". It matches the Rfam family "Bacterial small subunit ribosomal RNA", at positions 28 to 507 of the family's 1533-position model. The record is from RNAcentral.